RNAcentral lists this ribosomal RNA (491 nucleotides) under uncultured bacterium. RNAcentral's name for it is "bacterial SSU rRNA". It matches the Rfam family "Bacterial small subunit ribosomal RNA", at positions 24 to 509 of the family's 1533-position model. The record is from RNAcentral.
UCAGGAUGAACGCUAGCGGCAGGCUUAACACGAUGCAAGUCGAGGGUAACGCGGGGUAGCAAUACUCUGGCGACGACCGGACGCACGGGUGCGUAACGCGUAUGCAACCUACCUGUAACAGGGGGAUAACGGAGAGAAAUUUCCACUAAUACCCCAUAUUGACACGGAUUCGCAUGUUUCUGUGUCGAAAGCUUCGGUGGUUACGGAUGGGCAUGCGUGACAUUAGCUAGUUGCGGGGCAACGGCCCACCAAGGCGACGAUGUCUAGGGGAGCUGAGAGGCUUAUCCCCCACACUGGUACUGAGACACGGACCAGACUCCUACGGGAGGCAGCAGUGAGGAAUAUUGGUCAAUGGACGGAAGUCUGAACCAGCCAUGCCGCGUGGAGGAAGAAGGUCCUAUGGGUUGUAAACUCCUUUGUUCCAGAGUAAUAAGAGGCUUGCGAGCUUCGAUGAGAGUAUGGGACGAAUAAGCAUCGGCUAACUCCGUGCC